Molecule: non-coding RNA, 486 nt
Organism: Melospiza melodia melodia
Lineage: Eukaryota; Metazoa; Chordata; Aves; Passeriformes; Passerellidae
Source: the annotation of a RefSeq genome assembly
CGGGCGGCCGUGACCCUGCUGGAGUGCGGGGGGGACCUCCAGCCCCCCGGGGGGUCCCUGCGCCUCCUCUGCCGAGGGGCCGGGUUCAGUUUUGGCAGUUUUGGGAUGGGCUGGAUGCGACAGAGACCCGGGCAGGGGCUGGAGUUCGUAGCACAGAUCAACACUGGUGGCACCACCCACUAUGGAGAUUCGGUCAAGGGCCGGUUCACGAUCUCCAGGGACAACGGGCAGAGCUCGGUGACGCUGACCAUGAACAACCUCAAGGACGAGGAUUCCGGAUCCUAUUUCUGUGCCAAGGAUUCCUAUGCUGGCUGGAAUGCCGCCCAUGCCAUUGGUCUCACUCCCGGUGGUUGGCCCCGCCCCGUUUGCCCCAACGCUGCCCAUUGGCCCCAAACCCUGCCCUGGGUCUGGCCCCAAACUCAACUCUCGGCCCCAAAUCUCACCCUCGACCCCCAAAAGUGCCCCAAGGGCCGAGAUUUGGGGUGA